UUUUCCCAAAACCAAAGUGGUUUUGUUUAAUUCACAACAUUAAGAACGUGUUUACUGUGACUGAAAAGUGACGGCGAGGGGUCUGACAGAGCGUCAGUAUAUGACGAGUUGGGAUGACAACGUGUUGCCAUGGCAGCACGCGUUGCUGUCCACAACGGUGUCUGGCGAGCCCGAGUUGGAGCAUUUCAAAUUCUUCACAUUGUGGCUUUAACUCGUAGGUUCUCUGGAGAUAUCAGGAGUAGCUUUGUGGUCGUCAGGAACUCGAUGUCUCAUUCUAUCGAGUUACUUCAUGGUGUGUCCAUGUGGGUCGUAUUUUUGAAAGAAAGGUGUCCCAGAAGACGAAGAGAGAAGACCUACAUAAUGUUACUAAAUCUUUAUAUUACAGUUUCUUGUUCUAGCAGUCUUAAAGAAUCAUGUUUUACUGUGUCUUCAGAAUACUAGAUUAUGUUAAAGACGUAUUCGUAACCACAUUCAUGUUCUCAGUCUGGUUCAGUUCCCUGUUUCCUCACAGAGGUUUUGGGGUUUGUGUUGCCUUACAUACAUUCUGUACCUGCCCCCCCCCCACACAGCGGAGAGCGCAGAGACGUUUGAACCAGAUACAAUUUGGCGUUUGAAACCUUCCUCUGGUGUUGAUUUGUAGACGUAGCCUGCUCUAGUUCUAGGGAACUGGUCACCAUGCCUUCUUCUUCUGUGUAUGAUUUCAGACGUGUGCUGUUCCGACCUAAUUAACAUACUAUACUUUAAGUUUUUUGUACUAUUUUUUUGACAUGCUAUGUAAUGACUUGUGAAAUAGCUCAGUGUGUAGAUAUCUGUUUGGAAUACUGGAGGUUGUGGGUUUGAUCCUUAUGUGACACAGUCUGUUUUCAGGUCUAACUUCUAAUGACCAAGUCAAAUAUACCAAGAGAACAGUCCUCAGUGUGGCAUUGGUGGCUUGGCUGCUAAGUUCCCGGUUCUGGCUGCGGCAGAGUGGGGUUCCAUCCCCACCCUCACAUCGAUGCCCGGUGCCUGACAGUGGAGUGAGACGAGCGUCUCCUCCCAGGGUUUACCAGAGAUAACACUGGGGGGUUAUGCAACAGGAACUGUAGUAAAUUUUACUUUACUGUGGUAGUAAUGUUUCACGUUAGGGUUGUAUAUAAUAUAGGGUUAGGGUUCUGAGCACCUGGUUGUGGCGCCAGCAGCAACGUCCAUCAGCCAAGGCUUUAGGGCUGCUG
Long non-coding RNA from Sebastes umbrosus (honeycomb rockfish), 1211 nucleotides. RefSeq lists it as uncharacterized. Lineage: Eukaryota; Metazoa; Chordata; Actinopteri; Perciformes; Sebastidae. The record is from RefSeq and is a predicted model, not a curated record. The transcript has 3 exons.